CCUACGGGAGGCAGCAGUAAGGAAUAUUGGUCAAUGGGCGGAAGCCUGAACCAGCCAUGCCGCGUGCAGGAAGACGGCCCUAUGGGUUGUAAACUGCUUUUGUACCGGAAUAAACCCCCGAACGUGUUCGGGGCUGAAUGUACGGUAAGAAUAAGGAUCGGCUAACUCCGUGCCAGCAGCCGCGGUAAUACGGAGGAUCCGAGCGUUAUCCGGAUUUAUUGGGUUUAAAGGGUGCGUAGGCGGCCUGUUAAGUCAGGGGUGAAAGACGGUAGCUCAACUAUCGCAGUGCCUUUGAUACUGACGGGCUUGAAUGUACUUGAGGUAGGCGGAAUGUGACAAGUAGCGGUGAAAUGCAUAGAUAUGUCACAGAACACCAAUUGCGAAGGCAGCUUACUAAGGUAUGAUUGACGCUGAGGCACGAAAGCGUGGGGAUCAAACAGGAUUAGAUACCCUGGUAGUCCACGCCCUAAACGAUGAAUACUCGAUGUUGGCGAUAUACGGCCAGCGUCUAAGCGAAAGCGUUAAGUAUUCCACCUGGGGAGUACGCCGCAAGGGUGAAACGUCAAAGGAAUUGAGGCUGAGACCGNGCGAGCGACGACGAGGAGGAGG
RNAcentral lists this ribosomal RNA (609 nucleotides) under uncultured bacterium. RNAcentral describes it as "bacterial SSU rRNA". It matches the Rfam family "Bacterial small subunit ribosomal RNA", at positions 338 to 944 of the family's 1533-position model. The record is from RNAcentral.